UGAAAUAUCUUGUGAACAUAAAGGUUAUUUAAGAAUUUAGGCUGAGAUAUUUUAUAGUGAAAGCAUAAAAACCGUUUUGUAUACAUAGCCGAUUAUUCUACUGUCUAUACCAAUCAUUGUCUUAUUUUAACCAUUGGGUAUUGAAACCGAGUUCUAUUUACUAAGAAAACACUUAGUAUAAUUCUUUUUUUUGUAUUUGUCUGAGAGAUUAAUCAAGUACGAACUAAAGAAAUCUCUUGUCAUAUAUUUUCCUUUGUGUAAAUAGCUAAGGAUGACUGUUACAAUAUUGCCCAUAGCGUUCUAUAACUUCUGGUGGAUCAAUCGCAAUCAUUUUUCAUUUCAAAGAAUUACUAAUUGGGUCUAUAGAAAAAUCAUUUCUUUUUAUUUCAGACUAUUUUGUUUGUCAUUGAAUUUCCUACAUUAGCUGCUCUGGUUUAUUGUAUCAUUAACUUUUAACAUAAAGAACCUCAACAAGUCAUGCUAAUUUGACAUUAUAGAAUGUAAGUAUAUUAAAUUAUGAUAAACUAUUUAUUGCAAAAGCAGGAUGGAUAGUACAUUAUAGAGCAUAGAAAUUGUUGCAAAGAAAUCCACAGUUUAUUAUCUAAGAUAUUUACUUUAUGGAGAUAUUAAUUUAGAAGGCUCAUAGCCGUAUUUUUUUGCAUUAUAAGCCAUUUGUUUCACUGGCUUUAUAUAGUCAAUAUGCGACUCAUAAAUUCAUUAGAGUUAUUCUCUCGCGAAAAAUCAUUGAAAUGUGGGGCCUGAUCAUUGUUGUAGAUUUAAGCAACAUAUAACCGAAGCUAAUGAGAACAAAUUGAAGCAGAGUUUUUCUGAAUACCAAAUACAUUUUUGAUACUCCAGGGUUGCAGAGUUUUUGCCUUCAGAGCCCAUUGCAAGUAUGUUCGGUUUCUAAGGGUUUCCUCACUUCAUACAUAGUUAGAUUUGUUCCUCAAUUCUUAAUUUUUCGCUGACUUCGUGACGCUUUCUACUAUAAUCAUGUUACAAACUAAUAUAUAAACAAACUAGUGACCUUUAGGAUUAAACGAGAGGCAAGCACAAACCACUUGUUCCAUUCAAGUUACUGCAAUAUUUUUAUGGAAGAUAUUAGAAAAUUAGCAGAAUACUCACCAAGUUUGUCACAAUGCAAGACGAUGGCAAAAGAUCCUUAAGCUCAUUCCAUAUUAAAAAUGUCGUAAGUUAGUAAAAUUUAAAAAUAGUCAAGUCCUUCAUUUUGAAGUUUUUUGUUUAUUACUCGACCAAAAACAAAUUGCCUUGCAAUCGUUACCUUUUAUGCUUUAGCACCUAUAAUUAUCCUGUAGACAGAAAUUACCUUUUAUAUAGCAAAC
Molecule: non-coding RNA, 1343 nt
Organism: Schizosaccharomyces pombe (fission yeast)
Lineage: Eukaryota; Fungi; Ascomycota; Schizosaccharomycetes; Schizosaccharomycetales; Schizosaccharomycetaceae
Source: the annotation of a GenBank genome assembly